GGGUAGUAUUAGUUUUUUUUAUGAAAUCUAAAGAAUUUGGCGGCAUUUUAUCUUUUUAGGGGAACCUGUUCUUUAAAUGAUAAUACACGAUUAGCUUUACUAUAUUUAAAGGUUUGUAUACUUCCGUUAUCGGGAUAUUUAAUAAUAAUAUAUUCUUGUUUUUAUAUAAUAAAUUAUUUCAGGUCAAGGUGCAGCUUAUGAUAUAGUAUGAAAUGGGUUACAAUAAUAUUAUUUAUAUGGAUUUUUUUUUUAAAUUUUAAGAUGAAGGUGGAUUUAUUAGUAAGUUUUUAUAAUUAUAAAUUCUGAAUUAGUUCUAAUUUGUGU
RNAcentral lists this ribosomal RNA (324 nucleotides) under Tetrix tubercarina. Its description in RNAcentral is "partial 12S ribosomal RNA". Lineage: Eukaryota; Metazoa; Arthropoda; Insecta; Orthoptera; Tetrigidae. The record is from RNAcentral.